This 301-nucleotide ribosomal RNA is filed under the name uncultured bacterium. Its description in RNAcentral is "partial 16S ribosomal RNA". It matches the Rfam family "Bacterial small subunit ribosomal RNA", at positions 509 to 807 of the family's 1533-position model. The record is from RNAcentral.
CAGUCGCCACGGUAACACCGAGGGUGCAAGCGUUAAUCGGAAUUACUGGGCGUAAAGCGCGCGUAGGUGGUUUGUUAAGUUGGAUGUGAAAUCCCCGGGCUCAACCUGGGAACUGCAUCCAAAACUGGCAAGCUAGAGUAUGGUAGAGGGUGGUGGAAUUUCCUGUGUAGCGGUGAAAUGCGUAGAUAUAGGAAGGAACACCAGUGGCGAAGGCGACCACCUGGACUGAUACUGACACUGAGGUGCGAAAGCGUGGGGAGCAAACAGGAUUAGAUACCCGCGUAGUCCCUGUCUCUUAUAC